RNAcentral lists this non-coding RNA (30 nucleotides) under Homo sapiens (human). The record is from RNAcentral. Lineage: Eukaryota; Metazoa; Chordata; Mammalia; Primates; Hominidae.
UGAACUCUUUGCCUUUGAGUCGUGGAGACA